Molecule: transfer RNA, 88 nt
Filed under: Hydrogenoanaerobacterium saccharovorans
Lineage: Bacteria; Bacillati; Bacillota; Clostridia; Eubacteriales; Oscillospiraceae
Rfam family: tRNA
About the family: Transfer RNA (tRNA) molecules are approximately 80 nucleotides in length.
Source: Rfam by way of RNAcentral
GGAGAGCUGGCUGAGUGGUCGAAGGCGCACGAUUGGAAAUCGUGUGUACGUUAAUAGCGUACCUAGGGUUCAAAUCCCUAGCUCUCCG